Molecule: ribosomal RNA, 253 nt
Filed under: uncultured bacterium
Lineage: Bacteria
Description: partial 16S ribosomal RNA
Rfam family: Bacterial small subunit ribosomal RNA
Source: RNAcentral
UACGGGGGGGGCAAGCGUUGUUCGGAAUUACUGGGCGUAAAGGGCUCGUAGGCGGCCGACUAAGUCAGACGUGAAAUCCCCAGGCUCAACCUGGGAACUGCGUCUGAUACUGGAUGGCUUGAAUCCGGGAGAGGGAUGCAGAAUUCCAGGUGUAGCGGUGAAAUGCGUAGAUAUCUGGAGGAAUACCGGUGGCGAAGGCGGAUCUCUGGGCCGAUACUGACGCUGAGGAGCGAAAGCGUGGGGAGCGAACAGG